This 429-nucleotide ribosomal RNA is filed under the name Gemmatimonadota bacterium. RNAcentral describes it as "Gemmatimonadetes bacterium partial 16S ribosomal RNA". It matches the Rfam family "Bacterial small subunit ribosomal RNA", at positions 355 to 776 of the family's 1533-position model. The record is from RNAcentral. Lineage: Bacteria; Pseudomonadati; Gemmatimonadota.
UAGGGAAUCUUCGGCAAUGGACGAAAGUCUGACCGAGCAACGCCGCGUGAGUGAAGAAGGUUUUCGGAUCGUAAAACUCUGUUGUUAGAGAAGAACAAGGACGUUAGUAACUGAACGUCCCCUGACGGUAUCUAACCAGAAAGCAACGGCUAACUACGUGCCAGCAGCCGCGGUAAUACGUAGGUGGCAAGCGUUGUCCGGAUUUAUUGGGCGUAAAGCGAGCGCAGGCGGUUUCUUAAGUCUGAUGUGAAAGCCCCCGGCUCAACCGGGGAGGGUCAUUGGAAACUGGGAGACUUGAGUGCAGAAGAGGAGAGUGGAAUUCCAUGUGUAGCGGUGAAAUGCGUAGAUAUAUGGAGGAACACCAGUGGCGAAGGCGGCUCUCUGGUCUGUAACUGACGCUGAGGAUCGAAAGCGUGGGGAGCAAACAGG